RNAcentral lists this transfer RNA (77 nucleotides) under Sporosarcina pasteurii. RNAcentral describes it as "tRNA-Arg". It matches the Rfam family "tRNA". Rfam says of the family: Transfer RNA (tRNA) molecules are approximately 80 nucleotides in length. Their secondary structure includes four short double-helical elements and three loops (D, anti-codon, and T loops). Further hydrogen bonds mediate the characteristic L-shaped molecular structure. tRNAs have two regions of fundamental functional importance: the anti-codon, which is responsible for specific mRNA codon recognition, and the 3' end, to which the tRNAs corresponding amino acid is attached (by aminoacyl-tRNA synthetases). tRNAs cope with the degeneracy of the genetic code in two manners: having more than one tRNA (with a specific anti-codon) for a particular amino acid; and 'wobble' base-pairing, i.e. permitting non-standard base-pairing at the 3rd anti-codon position. Lineage: Bacteria; Bacillati; Bacillota; Bacilli; Caryophanales; Caryophanaceae. The record is from RNAcentral.
GUCCCAGUAGCUCAGCUGGAUAGAGCAACAGCCUUCUAAGCUGUGGGUCAGGGGUUCGAAUCCCUUCUGGGACGCUA